Molecule: long non-coding RNA, 533 nt
Organism: Carassius carassius (crucian carp)
Lineage: Eukaryota; Metazoa; Chordata; Actinopteri; Cypriniformes; Cyprinidae
Exons: 4
Source: RefSeq, a predicted model, not a curated record
CACACCAGACUGUUGUUGAUUGUGUGCGCUUUGAUCUGGGUGCAUCUGACAUGCAAUGUGUACUUUCUUUCUUUCUUUCUUUCUUUCUUGUUAAGGCAGGCGUGAACUUGUAGAGAGAUAUGCUGCAUGAUUCACACCUAUGCUGAGUCAAAAGAGCUCCAGUGUUCUGCACAGACAGUGAAGCACAGAGUCAACCAUUGUUUUUCUGAGCACACUGAACACAUUUAAAGGAGAAGAGAAAGAGAGAGAGAGAGGGUGGCCUGCCUAAUGGCAGAGAGCUGGAUGUCCCAGUGAGGUCAGGUUGGACGGAAGGUCAUGGGGUCAUUUACGCUGGGGAAAGCUGCUUCUCUGGAGCUACUGCUGGAAGCCUGCAUUCGUGCGUUUGAUGAUGAAGGAGAGCUGCAUGAAAAUCAGCUUCCCCGAACCCUUCUCCUGAUGCAUCGCUGGUAUGUGUCCUCCACCGAGCUCGCUGGGAAGCUUCUGAUUAUAUAUCCUGUGCAAGUCUAGUAUGAGCAUGUGUGGUUUGUGUGUGA